AACUUCCCUUGCAACCCCCUAUAAAAAGAGCCUCGGACUCUGGGCUAGUCGCCUCUCUAAGAUACUUUGCUUUGGGAGUGCCGUCUGGCCAGACUAAGAUCUGUUUUACUUUCCAACUUGCCCGGGUGUUCUUCGCUGCAGUCAGCUCCUCGGAGCGUUUGGUACUUUAAUCCUAAUUAUGCUGCAUAGUAACAGUUGAGAUAACUGGCACUCAGAGAGGUCGAGUAAUUGUCUAAGAAUACACACCUACUAGAACUCAGAUGUCUUAUUGCUUCUGCCCAGGUCAGACAGAGGUGAGAAUAACUGUAAAUCUUCUAUUUUUUUUUUUUUUUUUUAACAUUUGAAGCAGAAGUUGAAGAAAGAGGAUGGGAAGGGAGAUCAUUGAAGUGUGUCUAGUAUUAAUGAUGAUGUUUAAAUCCACCUAGACACACAAGUACCAAAUGAACAUUCAAGUAAAGGAAAGUGAGUUUUACAGAUAUUUAUUGCAAACCAACAAAUCAAGCAGAUACUGCAUACUUCCCAUGUACAGGUUAUGGCUGAACACUCAAUUGACGUGAACUCAUAAUGAGAGACAUGGAGGAUCUUUAGGUCACCUGAAAAGGAGAAUUCAGGGCAAUUUAACAAAUAUUUAUCACAAAAUUACUCUGGAUCUUGCUUGGUGACAAACACUGGGUCCUUCAAAAGUUGAGGCAGGGCCCCUAGCUCUGGGUGAUCAAUAACAAACAAAGGGGUUUGACAAUGUCAAGAAUGAAGAAUUUGUGGACAUUUUGCCUUCCUCCUGAUAACCCCCAAGCCUCCCUGUGCUGGGUGUUUUCUGCAGCCCAGCUAAGAACAGCUCCUGAAAAUCCUCAAGCUGAGUCUGGGCCCCUUCCAGGCCUGUGGUUCCACCGCACUGUGUGUGAUACAAAGAGCUAGGUGAGCAGGCUCUGUCUCAUGCCUCUGCAUCCUGCCCUGGGCACUCAGUGGCAACAAGGGAAGUGUGCCCAGCUAGCUUCAAAGCCUGAGGCCCACCCUUUCCUCCAAAGCCAGCCAGCUGUGUGGUGCUGUCAAGUGGUCUGGGGAUUUGAGAUGCCAAGUCUAAGGUUGGUAUCAAAACACUAAGGCUUCUCUUUGACCCCAUCCCUCUGCUUUAGAGGAUUGUUUCUAAAAGCAAUCUGACUCCUCCCACUCCUCAUGAAGGGGACCAGGAAAACGGUAAACUGAGCAAAGCUUGACCUCUGAUUUACUCACCCCUCUUUUGAGUAUUUCCUCCUCAUUUUCUCAGCUGGGAUCCCAAACAGCUAAUGGUGCCUUCCAUAGCUUUCUCUAUGCAGGCCCUUCAAACAGUGUCCUGGGCCCUCAGC
RNAcentral lists this long non-coding RNA (1343 nucleotides) under Heterocephalus glaber (naked mole-rat). RNAcentral's name for it is "lncRNA (ENSHGLG00000047474.1)". Lineage: Eukaryota; Metazoa; Chordata; Mammalia; Rodentia; Bathyergidae. The record is from RNAcentral.